RNAcentral lists this unclassified non-coding RNA (807 nucleotides) under uncultured bacterium. RNAcentral describes it as "partial contains 16S ribosomal RNA, 16S-23S ribosomal RNA intergenic spacer, and 23S ribosomal RNA". The stretch from base 239 to 311 matches the Rfam family "tRNA". The record is from RNAcentral.
AUCCCGUCGCGCAAGCGAUGGGAUGCCGAUGACGCGGCAACGCGUCAUCAACCGGUUGGCCGAAACAAACCGCACCAUUCCUGAUCCGAAAGGUGUCUGUGAUAUUUGCUGAUGAAUCGUGAGUACAUCCCGCUUGGAGCGGGAUAAAGGGAUGCGCAGCAAGUUCCAGGGGAUGGAAUUCAUGCUGAAAAAAGUUCCAAUGAUCGGAACUUUUGCCAAUAUGCCUCGGCUUCAAGGCGGGGGCAUAGCUCAGUUGGUAGAGCGGCAGCUUUGCAAGCUGUAGGUCAGGGGUUCGAAUCCCCUUGCCUCCACUCCGAUGCGCAAGGCGCGAUCGGAGUGCCUCGCCGGAGCCGAAGGGCGAAGGCGGGCAUGCUUCUACGGGCGUGUAGCUCAGUUGGUUAGAGCGCGUCCCUGAUAAGGACGAGGUCCCUGAUUCGAAUUCAGGCACGCCCACCAUGCUUCGCUCUGCGGCCCCUCGGCCUUGAGCUUCGCAUGGCGCAGCCACGCCGAGCGAUGCAUGCCCUGCGUAGCCCGGGCCCGCUACUCACGACAAACGAUUUCUCCAUGAAGGUUGCCCGUGAGGCGGCCGGCUACGGAGUCGUUCUUUGAAAAUUGCAUAGUGAUUUGGGUAAAUACAAGUUCAUCGAAGAUCGAUGAUAGAGAAGAAAGAUCAGUAGAGAACCAACAGACCAAUUUAUUUGGUCAAGCAAAGUACGAGCGCACGGUGAAUGCCUGGGCAUCGGAAGGCGAAGAAAGACGUGGCAAGCUGCGAUAAGCUCCGGGAAGCCGCUAAUCCAGCUCUGAUCC